GUCUAGCUCAGCUGGUAGAGCAUCUGAUUUGUAAUCAGAGGGUCGGGGGUUCAAGUCCCUCGA
This 63-nucleotide transfer RNA is filed under the name bovine gut metagenome. It matches the Rfam family "tRNA", at positions 6 to 65 of the family's 71-position model. From Rfam's summary of the family: Transfer RNA (tRNA) molecules are approximately 80 nucleotides in length. The record is from RNAcentral.